UCCUCGGUGGCGCAAUUGGCUAGCGCGUCGUAAGUGGUACCUUGCAUAGAUGAGACGCACGACGUUGUAGUCUGACAAUAUAAUAGUGACUGUUAAUCAGGAGGUUGAAAGUUCGAGCCUUUCCCGGGGAG
Molecule: non-coding RNA, 131 nt
Organism: Xylaria sp. FL1777
Lineage: Eukaryota; Fungi; Ascomycota; Sordariomycetes; Xylariales; Xylariaceae
Source: the annotation of a GenBank genome assembly